This 253-nucleotide ribosomal RNA is filed under the name uncultured bacterium. Its description in RNAcentral is "partial 16S ribosomal RNA". It matches the Rfam family "Bacterial small subunit ribosomal RNA", at positions 524 to 776 of the family's 1533-position model. The record is from RNAcentral.
UACGUAGGCAGCAAGCGUUGUUCGGAAUUACUGGGCGUAAAGAGUGUGUAGGCGGUGUUCCAAGUCUGGUGUGAAAUCUCCCGGCUUAACUGGGAGGGUGCAUUAGAAACUGGAAUGCUAGAGGAUGGGAGAGGUAAGCGGAAUUCCUGGUGUAGCGGUGAAAUGCGUAGAUAUCGGAAGGAACACCUGUGGCGAAAGCGGCUCACUGGACCAUUACUGACGCUGAGGCACGAAAGCUAGGGGAGCAAACAGG